This 86-nucleotide transfer RNA is filed under the name Candidatus Shapirobacteria bacterium CG09_land_8_20_14_0_10_38_17. RNAcentral describes it as "tRNA-Leu". It matches the Rfam family "tRNA". From Rfam's summary of the family: Transfer RNA (tRNA) molecules are approximately 80 nucleotides in length. Their secondary structure includes four short double-helical elements and three loops (D, anti-codon, and T loops). The record is from RNAcentral. Lineage: Bacteria; Candidatus Shapironibacteriota.
GCGGAUGUGCUGGAACCGGUAGACAGGCAGGCUUGAGGAGCCUGUGGACGCUUUAGUCCGUGGAGGUUCAAAUCCUCUCAUCCGCA